GAAUUCGCCCUUAGAGUUUGAUCCUGGCUCAGGACGAACGCUGGCGGCGUGCCUAACACAUGCAAGUCGAGCGAGUGGAGUUCUUCGGAACAAAGCUAGCGGCGGACGGGUGAGUAACACGUGGGCAACCUGCCUCAUAGAGGGGAAUAGCCUCCCGAAAGGGAGAUUAAUACCGCAUAAGAUUGUAGCUUCGCAUGAAGUAGCAAUUAAAGGAGCAAUCCGCUAUGAGAUGGGCCCGCGGCGCAUUAGCUAGUUGGUGAGGUAACGGCUCACCAAGGCGACGAUGCGUAGCCGACCUGAGAGGGUGAUCGGCCACAUUGGGACUGAGACACGGCCCAGACUCCUACGGGAGGCAGCAGUGGGGAAUAUUGCACAAUGGGGGAAACCCUGAUGCAGCAACGCCGCGUGAGUGAUGACGGCCUUCGGGUUGUAAAGCUCUGUCUUCAGGGACGAUAAUGACGGUACCUGAGGAGGAAGCCACGGCUAACUACGUGCCAGCAGCCGCGGUAAUACGUAGGUGGCGAGCGUUGUCCGGAUUUACUGGGCGUAAAGGGAGCGUAGGCGGACUUUUAAGUGAGAUGUGAAAUACCCGGGCUCAACUUGGGUGCUGCAUUUCAAACUGGAAGUCUAGAGUGCAGGAGAGGAGAAUGGAAUUCCUAGUGUAGCGGUGAAAUGCGUAGAGAUUAGGAAGAACACCAGUGGCGAAGGCGAUUCUCUGGACUGUAACUGACGCUGAGGCUCGAAAGCGUGGGGAGCAAACAGGAUUAGAUACCCCUGGGAAUCCCCGCCGUAACGAUGAAUACUAGGUGUAGGGGGUGUUCAUGACUUCUGUGCCGCGGCUAAGCCAUUAAGUAUUCCGCUUGGGGAGUACGGUGGCAGGAUUAAAAUUCAAAGGAAUUGACGGGGGCCCGCCCAAGCAGCGGGGCAUGUGGUUUAUUUGGAAGCAACGGGAAGACCCUUCCUUAGACUUGCCUUUUCUGCCAUUCCCCUUAUUCGGGGAGGUUCUUUCGGGGCCAGGAAGACAGGUGGUGCAUGGUUUUGUUCAGUUGGUUUGGUGAGAUGUUGGGUUAAUUCCCGCAAGGGGGGCACCCCUUUUUUUUAGUUGUUCCCAUUUAGUUGACCAUUCUAGGGAGACUCCCGGGGUUACCCGGGAGGAAGGGGGGGAGGAGGUCAAUUCUUCUUCCCCUUUAUUUUUGGGGUUCCCCACGUGUUCCAAUGGCAAGUCCAAGGAUGAAGCAAGACCGGGAGGCGGAGCAAUAUUCAAAAACUUGUCUCAGUUCGGAUUGUAGGCUGAAACUCGCCUACAUGAAGUUGGAGUUGCUAGUAAUCGCGAAUCAGCAUGUCGCGGUGAAUACGUUCCCGGGCCUUGCACACACCGCCCGUCA
Molecule: ribosomal RNA, 1385 nt
Filed under: uncultured bacterium
Lineage: Bacteria
Description: partial 16S ribosomal RNA
Rfam family: Bacterial small subunit ribosomal RNA
Source: RNAcentral